AACGAACGCUGGCGGCAGGCCUAACACAUGCAAGUCGAACGCCGUAGCAAUACGGAGUGGCAGACGGGUGAGUAACGCGUGGGAACAUACCCUCCGGUUCGGAAUAACUCAGGGAAACUUGAGCUAAUACCGGAUACGUCCAAGGUUUUAAUCGGCCUUGGAGAAAGAUUUAUCGCUGGAGGAUUGGCCCGCGUCUGAUUAGCUUGUUGGUGAGGUAAUGGCUCACCAAGGCGACGAUCAGUAGCUGGUCUGAGAGGAUGAUCAGCCACAUUGGGACUGAGACACGGCCCAAACUCCUACGGGAGGCAGCAGUGGGGAAUAUUGGACAAUGGGCGCAAGCCUGAUCCAGCCAUACCGCGUGGGUGAAGAA
This 370-nucleotide ribosomal RNA is filed under the name uncultured bacterium. Its description in RNAcentral is "bacterial SSU rRNA". It matches the Rfam family "Bacterial small subunit ribosomal RNA", at positions 29 to 412 of the family's 1533-position model. The record is from RNAcentral.